Molecule: ribosomal RNA, 420 nt
Filed under: uncultured bacterium
Lineage: Bacteria
Description: bacterial SSU rRNA
Rfam family: Bacterial small subunit ribosomal RNA
Source: RNAcentral
GAGGAAUAUUGGUCAAUGGGCGCAAGCCUGAACCAGCCAUGCCGCGUGCAGGACGACGGCCCUAUGGGUUGUAAACUGCUUUUGUACGGGAAGAAACAACGCUUCGUGAAGCGUCUUGACGGUACCGUAAGAAUAAGGAUCGGCUAACUCCGUGCCAGCAGCCGCGGUAAUACGGAGGAUCCAAGCGUUAUCCGGAAUCAUUGGGUUUAAAGGGUCCGUAGGCGGGCCUGUAAGUCAGUGGUGAAAUCCGGCGGCUUAACCGUCGAACUGCCAUUGAUACUGCAGGCCUUGAAUUUCCGGGAAGUGACUAGAAUAUGUAGUGUAGCGGUGAAAUGCUUAGAGAUUACAUGGAAUACCGAUUGCGAAGGCAGGUCACUACCGGUGGAUUGACGCUGAUGGACGAAAGCGUGGGGAGCGAAC